GGUUUUCGGGUGUAAAGUCGACGCCUUUGCCGAUUUCUUUGUCGAAGGAGGCUCGACAAUUGAAACGGCAGUCAAUCUGAUGGUUUGAGCCAGUACUGGACUGAGAAAGAAGAGCAGUGACUUUUACUUUGAAGUGUUCCGAUGCAGAGGGGGAGAUGUUAACACGGGAAGAGGUCAAUGGUGAUGUUAGGCAUGGAAGAUGUCUUGCCAUGGAAUGGUCAUGGGACAGCUGUUGUCUGUUUUUUGAGUUUGUGUCCCUAUUGGUUUACAAAGAACAAGCUGGGUUUACAUGAGAUGCAAUUCCAUCAUUUAACUAAGUAGUUUGCAGGAGGAAGACAAGCACCAGCUAACUUGCAAAUAUAUGUAGUAUGUGCAAAGAAUGUGCAGACAUAGGUGGUUAUGCGUUGGGACUUGCUUUUCCUUAUCUGUGUUUAUAAUUUGUGAAAUCACUGAUGGACUUUAUAAGUAGAAGAUGAAAAUACAAGUGACUCCUUUCAUACUGGGAAGGCAAACGAUGGAAAUGUGGGGCAUUGAUCGUUGGAGGGUUCAGGAUGUUGUUAUCUUAACUACUUGAUGAGAGGGCAAACCAGUUGGUGAAUAAAUGUCAAGAAUCACUCAUGAAGUGUCAGGGGAGUUGAUGGACAAGGGGUAAAUUGUGGCAUUUGUCUUGACUUUUUUUGGCAUUAGAAAUCGUAAAAGAUACACACGUUCGUUGGUCUAAAAUUCAUUUAGAAGGUGCUAAUUUGAUAAUAGGAUGUCAUCUUUUUCUGUUUUUCUGUUGGAACAAGCAGUCAGCGUUUUGAGAAACCCUUCCCUUCUUGGCAAGCAGAUUUAAUAGGAACAUACUCUUCAUUCUUCCUAUGAAAAGAGGGAUCUGUUUUCUCCCUUUCGUUUUCUU
Syzygium oleosum is the source of this 898-nucleotide long non-coding RNA. RefSeq lists it as uncharacterized. The transcript is spliced from 2 exons. The record is from RefSeq and is a predicted model, not a curated record. NCBI's taxonomy places the organism in Eukaryota, Viridiplantae, Streptophyta, Magnoliopsida, Myrtales, Myrtaceae.